This is a non-coding RNA of Tulasnella sp. JGI-2019a, 84 nucleotides long. The record is from the annotation of a GenBank genome assembly. Lineage: Eukaryota; Fungi; Basidiomycota; Agaricomycetes; Cantharellales; Tulasnellaceae.
GGCCAGAUGGCCGAGUGGUCUAAGGCGCUAGUUUUAGGUAAUAACACUAGUCUUCGGGCAAGGGUUCGAAUCCCUUUCUGGUCA